RNAcentral lists this microRNA precursor (96 nucleotides) under Nicotiana sylvestris (wood tobacco). RNAcentral describes it as "MIR6152 microRNA precursor family". It matches the Rfam family "MIR6152 microRNA precursor family". RNAcentral also lists the same sequence under 2 other names. The record is from Rfam by way of RNAcentral. Lineage: Eukaryota; Viridiplantae; Streptophyta; Magnoliopsida; Solanales; Solanaceae.
UGGACAGAUUAUUGUAUUCGACUGUAUUUACGGCGUGAAACAGGGGAUUACACUGUUUUUAAACGGAAAGUGAAUCAAUUAACAUAAUAGACUCCU